CCUUUGGAUGACGAAGAGAUGAUUUCGUACAUCCUCACAGGUUUCGGUAUCAAGUACAAUCCAAUCGUGUUUGUCAUCAUAGCAUGAGUGGAACCAAUAUCGGUCAGUAAAUUAUAUGCCCAGCUGUUAAGCUUUGAAA
Molecule: small nucleolar RNA, 139 nt
Organism: Phragmites australis (common reed)
Lineage: Eukaryota; Viridiplantae; Streptophyta; Magnoliopsida; Poales; Poaceae
Product: small nucleolar RNA Z247
Exons: 1
Source: RefSeq, a predicted model, not a curated record